CAGGAAGUAGUUUAUUAAAAUAUUAAUUUUGGAGAUUAAAGAUAGGGUUUUCCUUUUCCUGA
Molecule: transfer RNA, 62 nt
Filed under: Epicauta emmerichi
Lineage: Eukaryota; Metazoa; Arthropoda; Insecta; Coleoptera; Meloidae
Description: Denierella emmerichi tRNA-Pro
Source: RNAcentral